Molecule: ribosomal RNA, 432 nt
Filed under: uncultured bacterium
Lineage: Bacteria
Description: partial 16S ribosomal RNA
Rfam family: Bacterial small subunit ribosomal RNA
Source: RNAcentral
AACGAACGCUGGCGGCAUGCCUAACACAUGCAAGUCGAACGAGACCUUCGGGUCUAGUGGCGCACGGGUGCGUAACGCGUGGGAACCUUCCCUUAGGGUCGGAAUAACUCCCCGAAAGGGGUGCUAAUACCGGAUAAUGUCUUCGGACCAAAGAUUUAUCGCCUUUGGAUGGGCCCGCGUUGGAUUAGCUAGUUGGUAGGGUAAAAGCCUACCAAGGCGACGAUCCAUAGCUGGUCUGAGAGGAUGAUCAGCCACACUGGGACUGAGACACGGCCCAGACUCCUACGGGAGGCAGCAGUGGGGAAUAUUGGACAAUGGGCGGAAGCCUGAUCCAGCAAUGCCGCGUGAGUGAUGAAGGCCUUAGGGUUGUAAAGCUCUUUUACCCGAGAUGAUAACGACAGUACCGGGAGAAUAAGCUCCGGCUAACUCCGU